This 211-nucleotide long non-coding RNA is filed under the name Brassica napus (rape). Its description in RNAcentral is "long non-coding RNA (BNAP_LNC018792)". Lineage: Eukaryota; Viridiplantae; Streptophyta; Magnoliopsida; Brassicales; Brassicaceae. The record is from RNAcentral.
CCCAACCCGAAUAACCCAAAAACCGAAUAAACCGAACCGACCCGAACCGCCCGAAUGCCCAUGACUACUCCCUAUUACUCAAUUUUCCAUCUACAUUCAUAAUCUUGCAUAUCUUAACUCCGUAUAACAACCCCAACAAAAUAUGAAAAUCAGAGUAUGCUAUCCAUUCUUUUAAAAAUGGAAAUUGUAAUAUACUCAGAACAUUCAUUAU